CGGAAUGUAGCACAGCUUGGUAGUGCACUAGCUUCGGGAGUUAGGGGUCGUGGGUUCAAAUCCCAUCAUUCCGACCA
RNAcentral lists this transfer RNA (77 nucleotides) under Erysipelotrichaceae bacterium. RNAcentral's name for it is "tRNA-Pro". It matches the Rfam family "tRNA". From Rfam's summary of the family: Transfer RNA (tRNA) molecules are approximately 80 nucleotides in length. Their secondary structure includes four short double-helical elements and three loops (D, anti-codon, and T loops). Further hydrogen bonds mediate the characteristic L-shaped molecular structure. tRNAs have two regions of fundamental functional importance: the anti-codon, which is responsible for specific mRNA codon recognition, and the 3' end, to which the tRNAs corresponding amino acid is attached (by aminoacyl-tRNA synthetases). tRNAs cope with the degeneracy of the genetic code in two manners: having more than one tRNA (with a specific anti-codon) for a particular amino acid; and 'wobble' base-pairing, i.e. permitting non-standard base-pairing at the 3rd anti-codon position. The record is from RNAcentral. Lineage: Bacteria; Bacillati; Bacillota; Erysipelotrichia; Erysipelotrichales; Erysipelotrichaceae. RNAcentral also lists the same sequence under 1 other name.